Molecule: ribosomal RNA, 164 nt
Filed under: uncultured bacterium
Lineage: Bacteria
Description: partial 16S rRNA
Rfam family: Bacterial small subunit ribosomal RNA
Source: RNAcentral
UAGGGAAUCUUCCACAAUGGGCGAAAGCCUGAUGGAGCAACGCCGCGUGUGUGAUGAAGGGUUUCGGCUCGUAAAACACUGUUGUAAGAGAAGAAUGACAUUGAGAGUAACUGUUCAAUGUGUGACGGUAUCUUACCAGAAAGGAACGGCUAACUACGUGCCAA